GUUGGCGACCACACCACGUUGAAAGCACCAGUUUUCAUCCGAUCACCGAAGUUAAGUAACACUGGGCCCGGUUAGUACUUGCAUGGGUGACCGGCUGGAAAUACCGGGUGUUGCGGCUU
This 119-nucleotide ribosomal RNA is filed under the name Trichobilharzia regenti. Lineage: Eukaryota; Metazoa; Platyhelminthes; Trematoda; Strigeidida; Schistosomatidae. The record is from RNAcentral.